AUGGCAGUCAACAUACAAUAUGAAGUGUCUUACUUGACACAAGUGACCAUUUCAAACUCGAAUAGAGAAGCGGAGAUCCAAGCCAUUGUGAUGGCUAGAGCUGAGGCUUCUAGAGCACGUGAAGUGGCUGCAUUAGCCAAUGCGCAUGCAGAUGAAGCGAAUGCGAAUGCAAGAGAAGCUAUGGCUGAGACAUCAGAAUUGAAAAGGAAAUUUGAAGAAUUUCAGAAACAAUUGUUUUCUUGA
Molecule: long non-coding RNA, 243 nt
Filed under: Vicia faba (fava bean)
Lineage: Eukaryota; Viridiplantae; Streptophyta; Magnoliopsida; Fabales; Fabaceae
Source: RNAcentral